Molecule: ribosomal RNA, 513 nt
Filed under: uncultured Tistrella sp.
Lineage: Bacteria; Pseudomonadati; Pseudomonadota; Alphaproteobacteria; Geminicoccales; Geminicoccaceae
Description: bacterial SSU rRNA
Rfam family: Bacterial small subunit ribosomal RNA
Source: RNAcentral
UAAUACGAAGGGACCUAGCGUAGUUCGGAAUUACUGGGCGUAAAGCGCGCGUAGGCCGUUGAGUUAGUUAAUUGUGAAAUCCCAAAGCUUAACUUUGGAACUGCAAUUAAAACUGCUCGACUAGAGUUUGAUAGAGGAAAGCGGAAUACAUAGUGUAGAGGUGAAAUUCGUAGAUAUUAUGUAGAACACCAGUUGCGAAGGCGGCUUUCUGGAUCAACACUGACGCUGAGGCGCGAAAGUAUGGGUAGCAAAGAGGAUUAGAUACCCUCGUAGUCCAUACCAUAAACGAUGAUUGCUAGAUGUUGGAAAUUUAUUUUCAGUAUCGCAGCUAACGCAUUAAGCAAUCCGCCUGGGGAGUACGACCGCAAGGUUAAAACUCAAAUGAAUUGACGGGGACCCGCACAAGCGGUGGAGCAUGUGGUUUAAUUCGAAGAUACGCGCAGAACCUUACCAACCCUUGACAUGUCUGUCGCGAGUUUAGGAAACUAGACUUUCGGUUCGGCCGGACAGAAC